RNAcentral lists this long non-coding RNA (2397 nucleotides) under Sus scrofa (pig). RNAcentral's name for it is "lncRNA (ENSSSCG00035033574.1)". The record is from RNAcentral. Lineage: Eukaryota; Metazoa; Chordata; Mammalia; Artiodactyla; Suidae.
GCAGGUUAGAUCUUUGAACUGGUACAGUAGGUUAAGGAUCCAGCAUUGCUGCAGCUGUGGCAUAUCCCUGCCCCAGCAACUUCUAUAUGCCAUGGGUGCGGCCAAAAAAGAAAAAGAAAAAAAGGUAGAACUAGUUUCUUUACUUGGGGUUCUCUGAAGAGAUCUCUUCUAGCAUUUUUCUCAAUGCUUUUACCUAUGAUUUGAUCUGUGGGAAGGUGAGCUAUGAGGAUCCUUUCAGAUACAAAAUUUACUCUUUGGGUAAGAUAAUAUGAAAAUAAUGCUUUGCUUUGAAGACUAGUUAAGCCAGUUUACAAUGUAUGUUUCAAUGAAAUCUCAAUCUGUUAAUAUAUUACUCUCUCUUCCUCCCCUCUCCGUACACACAUACACACUGCUUUUGAAAUAGCUAUGAUACUUAUUUUAAUCAUGCUUUUAAUGUAAAAUUUAUUAAGGGAUCAAAAAUUUUAAGUUAUUUUACAGCAUCUCCCCGAAAUAUCAGAAAUUUUAAGUAGAAACAUUUUUAAUAUUUGAUAGUAUAUAAGUAUAAAUCAGAUUAAAUAUAAUGAUUUCUUUAAUAAUAAUAAUAAUAAUAAUAAUAAUAAUAGAUGACCCAGUACCUGAAGUAUGCUGCUUACAUAUUGUUACUGUUAUAGUAUAACAAGAACAGGCCAUGUAAAGAUUUUAAUUAUCUUACCCCCUUCAUCCUGAUCAAAUAACAAGCAAAAAAGUGUAUGCCAUCCUAAUGGGAAUUAGAAAAAAAAUAAGGUCAAUAUAUCUUUUAUAAUUACCACUGCCUUUGUUGUCACAUUGUCUGAUGCACCUGUACACUGGAGAUUCAAUUCUGUCUUGAUCUGUGUACAAAACACACAUAAUCACUUAAAGUGUACUUGCUUUAAAUGAUGAGAAAGUUUCAAAAUGUAACUUUCUCAUCAUAAAGGAAGGAACAGACUUUUCAAUAAGGAUGAAGUAGGACAGUUGCAGACAUGGUCAAGGUAAAUAGCUAUAACUUGAUUGUGCAGGAAAAAGGUAAAAGUAAAAAGAAAAAUCAGUUCACCCUCCAGUAAAAUGUACUUCUAAAAAUUCUGCCCCAUACAUGUUCUGAUUAUAAGACAUAGCUUUAAGAAUUAUCCUCUCAUAACCUUAUUCUAUGAUAUAGGACCAGAAAGUGCAUCAACAUAGAUCUUCUCUGUGGUCUUUCAGAAGGUAUGUCACAACUUCUUUCUAUGUCUGCCAUUUAAAGAUGUAAGCAGUAGAAUAAAAAAAAUAAUAAUUCUUGGUUUAUGAAUUCAUUUCACAGUAGACACUCAGGGCUUAGGGGGUGAGAAGGAGAAAGGGGUAGAAGUUUUGGAUUUUAUUCAACCUUGGUAAUGAGUGAAGUUUUACAAUUUAUACUGAUUAAAAAAUUGAGAAUAAAGCCUGCUCAUACAUUAUCAUUGAUGAAGUGCGUGGCUGCUGCAUUUUCCAUGCAGUUGCCAUAGUUACCCUAUGAUGGAAUGAUGACCCAAAUUAAAUUUCCACAAAUUGUUGCCUUCAGUUUUUUAUUUUCUUGUUAAGAAUGAAAAGACUUUAUUUUAUGAAUAAAAAACUGGAUUAUGAUCUCUGCUUUAAUCUUGGUAGAACAAUCUAAGCUUCUUAAUAAAAAGGAAAGGUUAGUGAGAACUAAAGAUGUAUCAUAAUAAUAAAAUAAUGGAAACACUAAAAAUAAUAUUUAGCGUUUCACUGAAGGAGGGCUACAUGCUUAUCUUCCUGUUGGUUUCUUUGGUGGGGUGGGUGUUGUAGAGAGAAUAUGGAAAUGUGGAUCUUAUCCAGGGUAAUGGCUUUGUUUCUGCAUUUUCACAUCUUCAGCCUACAACCUAAAGUGCCACUUCUUUAACACAUCUGGUUGAUCAAGUUGAUCUAGAUUCAGCAGUAACUCUAAAACCCUAUUUUCUGUAAUGUGACUAUAAAUUUUCCAUGACAAGACCGCUGAUCAAACUGGAAAAUUCAUGAAAAGAGUGUAGUUUAAGCCAUAUGAAUUGUUGGUAAUCAACAGUUUUUUUCUUAUGAAAAGGCGUAUUCAUAUGGUUCAACAUAAUUAAAAAAUGCAAUGCAAAUUAAUAUAUUGCUAAUAAAGUCAAAGGAAAACUGAAAAUGAAAUAGCACAAGUAGUAAAAAAGAGAAGAUAGUAAAGAAAUAAUGAUGUAAAAUCUUGAAGAAUGCUUUCUAUUGACCUGUGUUUAUUUUGAUGAAGAUCAAAAGAAUAAAAACUAAAAUGAUAAAAUAUUUAGUAAAUAUGUAAUGAUGCACAGCUAUAUAAUUUAAAAACAUGUCAUUAUGCAUAUCUACACUUUUAAUAUCUUUUUUUUCUAUUAAAAAGAAGUACAUGUUAUUGCAGCAACUUGAAAUUGUAAAAGAACCAAA